This 728-nucleotide long non-coding RNA is filed under the name Struthio camelus australis. RNAcentral describes it as "lncRNA (ENSSCUG00000001724.1)". Lineage: Eukaryota; Metazoa; Chordata; Aves; Struthioniformes; Struthionidae. The record is from RNAcentral.
AUGCAUUCACUAAAACUGUCCCUAAAGUAUUAUUUCUGUCUUCUCCCCAGCAAGAAAGGGAUGAGCAGUCUGCCCCCUCUGUACUUUGGCAGUGGGGUCCCCAGGACAGUUUCUCAGCAGAGAAGGACCCCAGGCUGCGCAGGAGCAGCGCCUACAUCCAAGUCGGAACCUGGUGUCUGGAGCCGUUUCUCAACUAGAAAGGUUUUUAAACAGCGGUUUUUCACUACACCUGACAAAGAAACAGAAUUUCUCCGUAGUCUGCUUCUCUUCCCGAACGUGAAUGACCAGCUGGCAAUUCUCAGCAGCUUGUGCCAUCCUCAGUGCUUCGACACUCUACCUGCAGUGCUGACUGUUGCCUCUCACCCUGGUGUCCUGGCUGGAGGCUGAGAGAUGGUGGAGUGAAUCCAGCAAAUUGACCAGCAAUCCUGGUGAUCUCUUGUCCUCCACCACGGUCAGCACGCUCCUGUGGGGCUCUGUUUCUCUAACUCUCAUCUGCUUUGCCAUCUUCAUUCUCUCUCUCUCUCUUCCCCCCUCCAUGUUGCUUCCACCAUGAUGAAAUAGCUUCCUUUAGCAUUUAAAAGAAAAAAAGAGGUCAAAAGCCCUGUGCCAUGGUCUACCUCCCUUCUGGCCUUUUCCCCAGUAAACAGUCCCGGCUUUUGGAGUAAGAAGUCAUUUGUGCUCAGCUCACCUCCAUCAAAAAAAAAUCCUGCUGAGAUAUACUACUGCUG